AUGGAGUUCCCAAAGAUCCAGGUUUUCCUGACUUCAAAGAAGAUUUGGAAGCUGGCAAGGCAUUUUCCUGGAACAUCAGCCUCUACGGAAGAUUCAACACAAACUACAGGCGUUCUAAACACUGAAGAAGACUUUAAAGCGGAUGGGCAUUGCUGGGACUUUUUUCCCCUCCACAAGGUACCAGGGGAAUUCAACUUCUACCACACGGGGUUUGUGACUCGAUCUCUGACAGAGGGAGUUCAGAUGUUCAACUUUGUUCAAUAGAGAGUCAGAGUUCCCCACUCUUACAAAGGGUUCCAGAACUACCUCUCUUAAAUUACCUAACUCCUUCCCAUUUUGAUGAAGCAGAUAUAUGAGCCCGGGGUUAGGACAUAAAAGGCCUCAUAUCUUCUUAUUUUGCCUAGGGUGGGGUGGGGGGAGCUUAGAUAUUAACGUUGAGAAAAGGCCCUCGCACCUUCCCAUUCGUAUCAAGUGGACCUCAGAAAUUACUCCUGUCAUUAAAGGACCUCCAGACCAAUGAGGCUACAGCAGUUAGGCUAAGAGCACAUAAGACCCUAGCACUCUGAGGAAGUGUUUGUGUAGGACCUACCUCCUGUGACUAAAGGGAUUUCAGACAUUCCAUUUCUCCCUAUGGUAUUCUGUCACUAGCUGCCCUAAUGAUAAUGGUUCUCAGAAGUGGCCCAUGUUGCCAAGGGGACUGUGUACCUUUCCCUUCUGCUCAAGGGACCUUCAGGCAGACAUUU
RNAcentral lists this long non-coding RNA (743 nucleotides) under Nannospalax galili (Upper Galilee mountains blind mole rat). RNAcentral's name for it is "lncRNA (ENSNGAG00000024554.1)". The record is from RNAcentral. Lineage: Eukaryota; Metazoa; Chordata; Mammalia; Rodentia; Spalacidae.